UGCAGUUGAUACUGGAUAUCUUGAGUGCAGUUGAGGCAGGCGGAAUUCGUGGUGUAGCGGUGAAAUGCUUAGAUAUCACGAAGAACUCCGAUUGCGAAGGCAGCCUGCUAAGCUGCAACUGACAUUGAGGCUCGAAAGUGUGGGUAUCAAACAGGAUUAGAUACCCUGGUAGUCCACACGGUAAACGAUGAAUACUCGCUGUUUGCGAUAUACAGCAAGCGGCCAAGCGAAAGCGUUAAGUAUUCCACCUGGGGAGUACGCCGGCAACGGUGAAACUCAAAGGAAUUGACGGGGGCCCGCACAAGCGGAGGAACAUGUGGUUUAAUUCGAUGAUACGCGAGGAACCUUACCCGGGCUUAAAUUGCAGAUGAAUUACGGUGAAAGCCGUAAGCCGCAAGGCAUCUGUGAAGGUGCUGCAUGGUUGUCGUCAGCUCGUGCCGUGAGGUGUCGGCUUAAGUGCCAUAACGAGCGCAACCCUUGUUGUCAGUUACUAACAGGUUCCGCUGAGGACUCUGACAAGACUGCCAUCGUAAGAUGUGAGGAAGGUGGGGAUGACGUCAAAUCAGCACGGCCCUUACGUCCGGGGCUACACACGUGUUACAAUGGGGGGGUACAGAGGGCCGCUACCACGCGAGUGGAUGCCAAUCCCAAAAACCUCUCUCAGUUCGGAUUGAAGUCUGCAACCCGACUUCAUGAAGCUGGAUUCGCUAGUAAUCGCGCAUCAGCCACGGCGCGGUGAAUACGUUCCCGGGCCUUGUACACACCGCCCGUCAAGCCAUGGGAGCCGGGGGUACCUGAAGUGCGUAACCGCAAGGAGCGCCCUAGGGUAAAACUGGU
Molecule: ribosomal RNA, 837 nt
Filed under: uncultured organism
Description: SSU rRNA
Rfam family: Bacterial small subunit ribosomal RNA
Source: RNAcentral